Chiloscyllium plagiosum (whitespotted bambooshark) is the source of this 716-nucleotide long non-coding RNA. RefSeq lists it as uncharacterized. Lineage: Eukaryota; Metazoa; Chordata; Chondrichthyes; Orectolobiformes; Hemiscylliidae. The record is from RefSeq and is a predicted model, not a curated record.
UUACAGACAACAGACUAACAGGGAUGAAAACACAGCCUCUACCAGCCUUCAUCAGCAGAGGUAGCAAGAUGCUCCCAGAAUAUGGAUUCAUGCCCGGAGGGAGCUGGGAGGAUAACUGCUCAAACUAAUCUGCUUUCUUCUGCUACCGAGAGACCUAGCUGUCACAAAUUGUGUGCUGCAGUGUUCUACUGUGUUAAAAAUGAGCACCCUCACCCUGAAGAUGACUGGCUGAAUGUGGACAUCUUCACCAGACCCUCUCCAGUCAGCCUAGCUGUGAAGAAGGAUUCGAGGUGGAAACUGUGCUGGUUCUAUUAGUCCUCCAUCUGUAUGCUCGGCCGUUAGGGGACUUGUGUGGAAAAUGGAAGGUAAUGUCCCUUCACGAGGAACUCCCUGCUCUGAAGAAGUUUCAAGUCUCAAUUUCAAUGUGAAAUGUUUCUCUCCCUGCAGAUCCUACCAGACUCGGUGACUAUUUCCAGCAUUUUCAAUUUUUAUUUUAGUAACAUCACAUAUUCAUCAACACUGUAAAAAUGCCAUUCUCCUGACUAACCAUGUGAUAAUUUAUUGCUGAUGGAAAGUUAAUUGAAAUUAUGUAAAUUUGAGGCUCUUAACUGUUAAUAGACUACUUGACCUUUAUAAAUGAGUAUAGCUUAUAACACAUAGGUGGUAAACUGCAGGAAACAGAAUUUAAACUCAGUUCUAUCAAUCAAUACUGUGUU